ACACCCGCCUUGCACAUGUGUGCCCCCCACGCACACCCAUGGAUGUGCCCCCCCCAACCCCCCCCGAGCUCACCCCAUGCCUCACGGCGCUCGCAUGCUCGUCCCCCGUGCUUGCACACUUGCCCCCCCUGCUUGCACACUCGCCUGUCCCCCCCGGCACUGUCACGCCCGCGCACCCCGGCUGUGUCUCACAGGCACCGCUGGCACAUUCACUCACGCCCACACGCCCGGCACGCACACACGCACGCACACGCAUGCACACACACGCUUGCACACGCCGCCACACAACACGCUCACCUGCAGGCCCGCAGCUCACACACCCACACACGUCCGCAGCCGGCACCGCUCAGCCACACGCACUCGUGCACCGUCGCACUCUCAGGUGCUGUUGCACACUCAUGUGCUGUCACACAUUCACAUGCCAUCACACACGUGUGCACCAUUGCACACUCACACACUGCCACACUCGCACACCAUCGCAGUUACUCACCAUCACACGCUCAUGCACCAUCGCACACUCUCACACUGUCGCACACCUACAGCGUCACUCACAUUUAGCCACCGACCUGCACACGCUCUAACACUCACACUCACGUUCACACCCAGCCUCACACCUCACACUCGCCCUCAUUCACAAGCCUGUACCCGCACACACUUGUCCACACCCCCCUCACACACUCACAGCCCCUCACAGUCCCACUCAGUCGCUCACCCUCACACUCACUCACACCCAUCCUUACACACUCACCCUCACCCGCACACACACUCACCCCCUCGCUCACUCUCACACUCACUCACAUUCACACUCACUCACCCCCAUACAUGCACAUCCUCACCCUCACACCCCUCACUCACUCUCACCCUCCCUCACUCACCCCCUUACACACUCACACUUACUGUCACACCUCACACCCACGCACACCCACACCCCCUCAUUCUCACACUCACCCUCCCUCUCACACCCCUCACACCCGCCCUCACCCCGUCACUCACACCCACCCUCCCUCUCACCCUCACUGUCACUUGCACACUCACCCCCACUCACCCCUUACUCACUCCCACCCUCACCCCGCACCCUCACUCACGCUCACCCCCACACUCAUACACUUAUCCUGUCACCCUCACGCUCACGCUCACCCAACACCCUUGCACACCCCCUUGCUCAACCCCCCUCCCUCCCACACUCACUCCCACUCCCGCCACGACCUCACACUCGUCCCGUACGCUCACUCCCACUCCCCCCCACCCACUCGCGCCCUCACCCCCACCCUUACCCUCACUCACACCCACACCCAGCCUCACUGCCCCCACACUCACACUCACAGUCACACACACCCUCACUCCCCCNNNNNNNNNNNNNNNNNNNNNNNNNNNNNNNNNNNNNNNNNNNNNNNNNNNNNNNNNNNNNNNNN
Molecule: long non-coding RNA, 1412 nt
Filed under: Anser brachyrhynchus (Pink-footed goose)
Lineage: Eukaryota; Metazoa; Chordata; Aves; Anseriformes; Anatidae
Description: lncRNA (ENSABRG00000020579.1)
Source: RNAcentral